RNAcentral lists this ribosomal RNA (437 nucleotides) under uncultured bacterium. RNAcentral describes it as "bacterial SSU rRNA". It matches the Rfam family "Bacterial small subunit ribosomal RNA", at positions 355 to 784 of the family's 1533-position model. The record is from RNAcentral.
UGGGGAAUUUUGCGCAAUGGGCGAAAGCCUGACGCAGCAACGCCGCGUGGAGGAUGAAGGUCUUUGGAUUGUAAACUCCUGUCAGCAGGGAAAAAGCGACCUGACCUCAUACGUCAGGGAGUUGAUUGUACCUGCAGAGGAAGCCCCGGCUAACUCUGUGCCAGCAGCCGCGGUAAUACAGAGGGGGCAAGCGUUAUUCGGAAUUAUUGGGCGUAAAGGGCGCGUAGGCGGCUUGACAAGUGGCGGGUGAAAUCCCUCGGCUUAACCGAGGAACUGCCUGCCAGACUGUCUUGCUUGAGACCGGGAGAGGUGAGUGGAAUUCCCAGUGUAGCGGUGAAAUGCGUAGAUAUUGGGAGGAACACCAGUGGCGAAGGCGGCUCACUGGACCGGAACUGACGCUGAGGCGCGAAAGCGUGGGGAGCAAACAGGAUUAGAUA